AUUAGAGGAAGUAAAAGUCGUAACAAGGUUUCCGUAGGUGAACCUGCGGAAGGAUCAUUCACAAACGAGUGUUUUAUGGCACUCUUUAAAAAUCCAUAUCCACCUUGUGUGCAAUGUUUGUUGGGAAAGUCUUUUCUUUCCCUUCAUAAAUAUCAACCUAUAUCUUUAACAACAUUCGUCUGAUAACAUAUUAUGAAUAUACUUAAUUCAAAAUAUAACUUUCAACAACGGAUCUCUUGGCUCUCGCAUCGAUGAAGAACGCAGCGAAAUGCGAUACGUAAUGUGAAUUGCAGAAUUCAGUGAAUCAUCGAAUCUUUGAACGCAUAUUGCGCUCUUUGGUAUUCCGAAGAGCAUGCUUGUUUGAGUAUCAGUAAACACCUCAACCUCCUCUUGAUUUUUCAAAAGGAGGGUGGACUUGAGCUAUCCCAACAACCUUUAUCGGUCGGCGGGCGGCUUGAAAUGCAGGUGCAGCUGGACUUUUAUCUGAGCUAAAAGCAUAUCUAUUUAGUCCUCGUCAAACAGGAUUAUUACUUUUGCUGCAGCUAACAUAAAGGAUAAUUGUCCUCUUUGCUGACUGAUGCAGGAUUUUACGACACUUUUAUGUGUUGUUCAACUCGAUCUCAAAUCAAGUAAGACUACCCGCUGAACUUAAGCAUAUCAAUAAGCGGGAGGAA
Molecule: ribosomal RNA, 674 nt
Filed under: fungal sp. APA-2013
Lineage: Eukaryota; Fungi
Description: eukaryotic LSU rRNA
Rfam family: 5.8S ribosomal RNA (bases 217-370)
Source: RNAcentral